Molecule: long non-coding RNA, 1154 nt
Organism: Chrysemys picta bellii (western painted turtle)
Lineage: Eukaryota; Metazoa; Chordata; Testudines; Emydidae
Source: Ensembl
GAGGGAGGCUGGCUCAUCUAAUCAAAAGAGCUUUAAACUAGGAAUUUGGGGGAGAUGGUUGGGAGAUGUCCAGUUAAUCUCCACACCAGAUUAUAACAUUGAGAGGGAGGAUGAUGAGAUAAGAACGGAUAUAGCCAGGGGGAAGAGAUUGGACAUAAGGAGGAGGGGGGGGAUGGAUACUUGACUAAUAGGUCAUACUGGCAGUACGGUGUCCAUACCAAAUUGGAUAACGAAUGUGAGAGAGGCCAAACGGCAUAAAUUAAGAUGUUUAUACACCAAUGCGAGAAGCCUAGGUAACAAAAUGGAGGAAUUGGAGCUCCUGGUCCGAGAAAUGAAACCGGAUAUCGUAGGAAUAACCGAAACGUGGAGGAAUGGUAGUCAUGACUGGAGUACAGGUAUGGAAGGGUAUGUGCUGUUUAGGAAAGACCGGAACAAAGGUAAAGGUGGGGGAGUAGCAUUGUAUGUCAAUAAUGAGGUAAACUGUAAAGAAAUAAUAAGUGAUGGAAUGGAUAAGACGGAGUCUGUCUGGGCAAUACUUACAUUGGGUAAAAGAACUACUAGAGCCUCCCCUGGGAUACUGUUUGGGGUGUGCUAUAGACCGCCGGGAUCUAGCCUGGAUAUGGACAGAGAACUCUUUAAUGUUUUUAGGGAAGUAAAUACUAAUAGGAACUGUGUAAUCAUGGGAGACUUUAACUUCCCGGAUAUAGAUUGGGGAACAAAUGCUAGUAACAAUAAUAGGGCUCAGAUUUUCCUAGACGUGAUAGCUGAUGAAUUCCUUCAUCAAGUAGUUGCUGAACCAAUGAGGGGGGAUGCCAUUUUAGAUUUGGUUUUGGUGAGUAGUGAGGAUCUCGUUGAGGAAAUGGUUGUAGGGGACAACCUUGGCUCGAGUGAUCAUGAGCUAAUUCGGUUUAAACUAAAUGGAAAGAUUAACAGAAUUAAAUCGGAGACUAAGGUUUACGAUUUCAAAAGGGCUAACUUUAAUAAAUUAAGGGGACUAGUUAGGGAAGUGGAUUGGACUAACAUAUUUAGGGAUCUAAAGGCGGAAGGAGCCUGGGAUUAUUUCAAGUUGAAGUUGCAGGAGCUGUCGGAGGCCUGUAUCCCGAGAAAGGGAAAACGGUUCGUAGGCAGGAGAUUUAGACUGAGCUGGAUGAGCG